Molecule: RNA transcript, 5552 nt
Organism: Phycodurus eques (leafy seadragon)
Lineage: Eukaryota; Metazoa; Chordata; Actinopteri; Syngnathiformes; Syngnathidae
Gene name: arf-GAP with coiled-coil, ANK repeat and PH domain-containing protein 2-like
Exons: 24
Source: RefSeq, a predicted model, not a curated record
UCUCCGUACGAGUCCAUAGUAUGUGCGUGGAAGAAAAUCCUCCCUCCCACUGGCUGCCGUGACCGAGCUCCAGGGCGACACUUUCUGUUUCCGUGACUGACUGCCGUGUCCGAAAUAGUCGCGUUAGCUUUCAGCGUUAUCGCGGUCCACUUGCACUCGUUUAUGGUUACAUUUGUGCGAUUUGUGAACCGAAGCUGCUGGCCUUUUGUGGCUGGUCGGCAAGCAGAGCCGCGACGGAGCCAGCUGCUCGGUACAGUAACGUUAGCAAACAAGCUAAUUAGCCACAAAGACUCAUCCUGGAUUACUGUCUUGGCAACAGAACAGCGCUCAGGUUUUUGAGGUUAACGUGCACACGGCAAAAUGAAGAUAACUGUGGAUUUCGAGGAAUGUUUGAAGGACUCCCCACGGUUCAGAGCUACCAUAGAGGAAGUGGAGGGGGACGUAUGUGAACUGGAAUCCAAGCUUGACAAACUGGUGAAGUUGUGCAUCGGGAUGAUAGAUGCUGGGAAAGCUUACAAUGCUGCCAACAAACAGUUUGUCAACGGGAUCCGGGAGCUUGCCCUGCAGUCUACCAAAGAUGAGGUCAUUGAGUCUAGUCUCUCAAAGUUUGCAGAAAGCCUUCAGGAGAUGAUCAACUAUCACACGAUAUUAUUUGAUCAGGCCCAGAGAUCAAUCAAGACCCAGCUUCAAACAUUUGUUAAAGAUGACCUACGUAAGUUUAAAGAAGCCAAGAAGCAAUUUGACAAGGUGAGUGAAGAAAAGGAUGCAGCACUGAUCAAGAAUGCCCAGGCUCCCCGCAACAAGCAGCAUGAAGUGGAAGAGGCUACCAACAUCCUUACUGCCACACGCAAGUGCUUCCGACACAUCGUCCUCGACUACGUUUUGCAGAUUAAUGUGCUACAGUCCAAGAGAAGAUCGGAAAUCCUAAAAUCUAUGCUGUCCUUUAUGUAUGCCCACCUGACCUUUUUCCACCAAGGCUAUGACCUCUUCAGUGAAUUACAGCCGCUAAUGAAACACCUCGGAGGACAGUUGGACCAGCUGGUGGUGGAUGCUGCCAAAGAGAAGCGGGACAUGGAGCAAAAACACUCCACCAUCCAGCAAAAGGCUGCUUUGCAGGACUUCUCAAAUGACGACACCAAGUUGGAAUACAAUGUGGAUGCAGAUAAUGGCAUCGCCAUGGAGGGUUAUCUUUUUAAGAGGGCCAGCAAUGCCUUCAAGACAUGGAAUAGACGGUGGUUCUCCAUCCAAAAUAAUCAGCUCGUUUACCAGAAGAAAUUAAAGGACAACCUGACAGUUGUUGUGGAAGACCUGAGACUGUGCACUGUCAAGCACUGUGAAGAUUUAGAGCGACGUUUUUGUUUCGAGGUGGUGUCACCCACCAAGAGCUGCAUGAUGCAAGCAGAUUCUGAGAAGCUGCGACAGGCGUGGAUCAAAGCAGUCCAGAACAGCAUCGCCACUGCCUUCCGUGACAAGGGAGAUGACGCUGAGAAGCUGGAGAGGAAGUCUUCCACAUCAACAGGGAGCUUAGACUCUGGUGGGGAGCCCAAGGAGAGAUCACUGAAGGGGGAGAGUGCCCUGCAGAAAGUCAUCGCCAUCCCGGGCAACGCUUGUUGCUGUGACUGCGGCCAGCCAGAUCCACGCUGGGCCAGCAUCAAUCUCGGCAUAACUCUUUGUAUCCAGUGCUCUGGAAUUCACAGGAGUCUGGGAGUUCAUUUCUCAAAGGUCCGGUCCCUGACUUUAGAUUCAUGGGAGCCAGAACUACUUAAGCUUAUGUGUGAACUUGGAAAUGGAGUUAUUAACCAGAUAUAUGAGGCUCGGCGAGAGGAGCUGGGAGCGAGAAAACCACAGCCAGGAGACCCAAGACAUGAAGUAGAGGCUUACAUCAAAGCCAAGUACGUGGAUCGCAGGUUUGUGCGCAGGCCAUCUGACGAGGAGCUUCGGAGCAAGGUGGUGUCCCUCAGUAAACAGGAGAAGAGACUUAGCAACAGCUCCGAGCACCUUCCUCCAAGACCACCACCGCCCACCCCAAAACUUCGACCUGGUUCCAACACCUCUGGACAGUCAGUCAAAAGUGCAGACAGUGGCAUCCAGCACAGCGCUGAUGGCAGCAGGGAAAUGCUGGUCACCACCCCCUCUAAUAGUAGUUUGGCAGAGGCAGAUAUUGCUGAGACUCCGCCCAUGCCAACCACCCUGCCUCCACCAUCGCCUUGUAAGGAGAUGGUGUUCUACGAGCCCAAGGAGUACAGUUCAGGCCUUCAGCUCUACUGGGCUUCAUGUGCUCGCAGCCUGCCUGACAUGGCUGAGGCCUUGGCCCACGGAGCCCAAGUCAACUGGGUCAACACGGAAGAUGAUAAGAGGACGCCACUCAUCAUGGCCGUGCGGGGGGGUUCACUGGUGACCUGCGAGUUUCUGCUCCAAAAUGCAGCCAAUGUGAAUCAGCAGGAUGCUCAAGGUCGAGGACCUCUGCACCAUGCCACCAUGCUGGGACGCACAGGGCAAGUGUGUUUAUUUUUGAAAAGAGGAGCCAAUCAAAAUGCUGCAGACAUUGAGGAAAAAACACCGCUUGCCAUCGCGGUGGAAGCAGCCAAUGCAGACAUUGUUACAUUGCUGCGACUGGCCAAGAUGAACGAGGAGAUGCGCGAGGCCGAGGGGCCCUACAGCCAGUCAGGUCAAUAUAACGCGAACAGCCCCACUGAGAUGCAGUACAGAAAGUGUAUGCAGGAGUUUAUCAGUCUGCAGCUGGAUGACACUUAAUGGCCUGUACAUUGGUGUCACAUAAACAGACUCUGCGGAAAAAUACAGGGGCCUGUUUUCUGGUUAUCAUAAAUUACUGGAAUCUUUUCCAGGUGCUUCUUACAAAUUGGAAGAGUCUUUCUUUUUAAGGCACUUGCAGUUCAGUGGAAAAUGAUCUGAUGUCAGCGACCAGCAGCACCCUGGCAUGCUACAAUGUUGGGUGGAGUGCUAACGUGACUGCAGUAUUCAGUUUCCAGAUAGAAAAGUCAACAUUGUGCUAAAAUAUUUACUGAUGACACACAAUGAAAAGCUGCUUGAGAACAUUAGAUAGAUGCUGCAUCCUCCCUUUAAAUUCAGAGACCCCACUUGCUGAUUUCUAUUGGUUGAACACAAUAGGGGUUGAAAUACAGUACAGUAUUAAAUUACAUUUGCUGCUAAGUCUCGACCACAAUAUUGGAAAUUCUCAACUCAGUGUGAGGGCAAAUUAUCCUUGUUUGGGAAUGCAUAUUUCUUUCAAAUAAAUGUCAGGUUCAGGGGUGUCAAACUUUGUCGCGGGUUAUCACGGUUUUCCUCAGAGGGCCGUUGUGAACCCAUAUAAACGCCUCUUUGUACUAUUACAUAUACACAACAAAUUGAUAGAUAACUACUUUUUUAACAAGUUGUAAAUCAGAAGUCAAGGACAAGACUUCAAGUUACUGGUUAAAGGUGUUUGGUAACAAAAAACUGCUUGCAAUAUCUCAAUGUUUUUAUUUAUUGUAUAUGAUAAUUUGAUUUUAGCAAGAAUCAUGGACGUUGAUGCACAUGCUUUGCUUUUGGGCAAGAUAAACUUAUGUGAUGGGCCGGAUGUGGCCGCUGGGACGUGAGUUUGACACCUGUGACGCCUAGUUUAUUGUGUAAUUAUACUAUUUACUAGGAUGUUAUUUUUUUGCCAAGUGUGAAUUUACCCAAUUUUCUGUUGGUGUUAGUUAGUGUCAGUGAAUUGUCUCUCUUAAACUUUCAGUGCCACUUUGUUGUUGAAUGUUUAAACACGAAACAUCUUGCUGUUAUGAUGUUGUUUUGCAACAAUCUUGAGGUAUUAUUUUGUUCUCAGAGAAUUCUGUAGUGCAUUGGCUUAAAAUACAAAAUACAAAAAUCUUUUAUGCACGGGACUGGACAGAAAGAAAAGCCGAUUUGACUGAAGUUUCACCGAUAAUUAACGAUGUUAUGACAGUGUCAAAAGCCUGGAGGAUUUGUGUAUCGUAAUCCAAUGUUAUGGCAGGAAAUCCAGAAUUGUAAGAAAUGACCGAUGGUCGUGAAUGUUUUUGGGUUCUUAAUGCAAAUCGGCAUAGUACAUGCUCUGGCAAUAGUCUCGAUAAUUAGCUUUUGAUGUUGAAAAGAUGGUGGCAUUAGAAGAGGAGGCUGUCAUAUUGUGUAGCUAGUGACUGAGUUCUGAAAACAGCACAUUUUCAACUCGUGUUCCUGCAGCCCCAAAUAUUUGGACAGUGCACAAGCACUUUGAUUAAAGGAGCAGUGUGUAGGACGAUGUAGUGGCCCUCAGUCACUCCCACAUGGGCUUACAUUUCUCGAAACCCUUUUUCUCAAAACAACACAAAUGUGUGAACACUCAGUUAACCCUCACAAUCUUUUAAAUGUACUUGCAGGGGGUUCUCGGUUGACGACGGUCUCGUCGACGUACAUGGUUUCGAGAGUUACAGACGGCGUGUAAGAAUACGUCGUCGCUCAGCACAAGAAGGCAGCCUCAGAGUUAUUGAUUUGUAUUCAUUUCUAGAGCGCCUGCCCUUAUAAGGGUCCCAGCUGAUUUUGGGCAAAAAGGCAGACUACAUAACAAAUAUAUGCGGCAAUUAGGAUUUUAUUACUGUGUUUGUAACAGACUACGGCGUGUUCUGACCCACAAAAGUUAUGUCGCCACCGUAUGAAUGGAACUGUCGUAAAUCUAGUGUCCCCCCCCCCCCCAGACAUACACACUGGCCCUUAAAAUGAUUAUUACGCUGCAGCGCCCUCUGGUGCGUCGUAGGGAACUGCUGGACUGUUAAAUGCCACUUGGCACACUGCUUUUUUUCCCUCAAGAACCAAUCAUGUCACUUUUGGAAUAAUGAGUGUUUGGACCUAUGCCAAGAAGCGUUUUCUUGAUGUGGGCUGUUAAAAGGGGGAUGAAACCGAUGAUUGCUGACUGUGGAUGCGUGCACGCCUCAAGAGCAUUCGGCAAUCAUGGAGAGAUGAACACAAACAAGUGAUUUGAUGCCAACAUCAUCAUUUUCAUAUUUGCUCUUCAGUCGGCGAGGGCCUCUUCAUCAGUCAGCCAAUCAGAUGAUGAAUGACGCCUCUGAUGCACGACAAGCCACCUCAUCGCUUCAUUUUUUUUUAAUUUUUUUUUUCAAUUACGCUUACAAUCAACAAAUUGGAACCUGAUGAAGUGCAGUCUGAUUACAACUGCACAAAUUGUCGCUUUUUAAAAAGAUAUUUUUUAUGAGUGGCGAAUUGAGAGCUUUGGGUUGUUUCAGCUGGUGUAAAUUCCCACUUGAGAGUUUGUGCCUUUCUUGUUUGCUUCUUUCUUGACCCAUCUGUAUUUGUUGUUUAUACAAGGCUGCACUUUAAACACAAUACAGUUGCUAACAACAAGCUAACUUCUUGUGUGCGCGUGAGUGUCUUCUUGCUUCUUCUGCUCCAUCUUUUUGUCUCUCUGGACCUCGUUUCUCUUUCAUAUGUCCAGCCACGCCGGGGCUCUGACAGGAGAUGAAACCUACCAGGACAUUUUCCAGGACUUCACCCACAUGGCCUCCAACGACCCGGACAAGCUGAAUCGCUACAAGCAGUACGAC